UUGCUUCUUUGCUGACGAGCGGCGGACGGGUGAGUAAUGCUUGGGAACAUGCCUUGAGGUGGGGGACAACAGUUGGAAACGACUGCUAAUACCGCAUAAUGUCUACGGACCAAAGGGGGCUUCGGCUCUCGCCUUUAGAUUGGCCCAAGUGGGAUUAGCUAGUUGGUGAGGUAAUGGCUCACCAAGGCGACGAUCCCUAGCUGGUUUGAGAGGAUGAUCAGCCACACUGGGACUGAGACACGGCCCAGACUCCUACGGGAGGCAGCAGUGGGGAAUAUUGCACAAUGGGCGCAAGCCUGAUGCAGCCAUGCCGCGUGUGUGAAGAAGGCCUUCGGGUUGUAAAGCACUUUCAGUCAGGAGGAAAGGUUAGUGGUUAAUACCCGCUAGCUGUGACGUUACUGACAGAAGAAGCACCGGCUAACUCCGUGCCAGCAGCCGCGGUAAUACGGAGGGUGCGAGCGUUAAUCGGAAUUACUGGGCGUAAAGCGUACGCAGGCGGUUUGUUAAGCGAGAUGUGAAAGCCCCGGGCUCAACCUGGGAACUGCAUUUCGAACUGGCAAACUAGAGUGUGAUAGAGGGUGGUAGAAUUUCAGGUGUAG
This 599-nucleotide ribosomal RNA is filed under the name Pseudoalteromonas haloplanktis ATCC 14393. RNAcentral's name for it is "bacterial SSU rRNA". It matches the Rfam family "Bacterial small subunit ribosomal RNA", at positions 74 to 678 of the family's 1533-position model. Lineage: Bacteria; Pseudomonadati; Pseudomonadota; Gammaproteobacteria; Alteromonadales; Pseudoalteromonadaceae. The record is from RNAcentral.